CCCUUAGAUGUUCUGGGCGGCCCGCGCACUACAUUGGCACUAGCAAAGAGAUCCUAGAUUGAAUUCUUUGGGGUAUUCUUCUAAAUGGUGUCGUGACUGGGAUAAAUCCUUGUAAUUAUUGGUUUUGAACGAGGAAUUCCUUGUAAUCGCGGUUUAUCAGCUCGCGUUGAAUGCGUCCCUGCCCUUUGUGCACACCGCCCGUCGCUCCUACCGAUGGAUCGUCCGGUGAAGCUCACGGAGUGACUGUUCACGCAACGGUUUACGAAGUGAAAUGGACCUCACGAUUUAGAGGAAGGAGAAGUCGUAACA
Molecule: ribosomal RNA, 309 nt
Filed under: uncultured eukaryote
Lineage: Eukaryota
Description: partial 18S ribosomal RNA
Rfam family: Eukaryotic small subunit ribosomal RNA
Source: RNAcentral